Megalopta genalis is the source of this 12229-nucleotide non-coding RNA. The record is from RefSeq and is a predicted model, not a curated record. Lineage: Eukaryota; Metazoa; Arthropoda; Insecta; Hymenoptera; Halictidae.
GCUAACACUUUUUCAGGUAACAAGCAGUUAGAGCCGGGAUGCUCCGAGAUUCAGAGAAUAACCGGAUAGUUAACAAGUGGAUAAUUGGUAGCGCGAGAGCAGUAUCUCGUUACCGAACUGAUCGGGAUCCUUAGCGGGUCUUGUUCUACGCCACGAUCGCUGGAUCAACACCGGCCGUUGGACUGGCUCGGCUGUUUAUCGGUGCACAUUCCAAAUAACUGGCGCUUUGGCCUCUCGGACGCUCGUUACAUAAUUCGUGACGCUCUCGCCGUCGACGGUACACCGCAUUUAUUUCCAUUUAAAUGGUUUACGUCAACGUGAUCGGGGCAGACCCUCGCGCGACAAGGAUCCGCUUCGUAGUUUACGCUCGGCCGCGUGCGGAAACGCCGCUCGAGAGGAUCGGCGCGAUCCUCGCGCGGAGUGCACGUGCAUUCUUCUCCCCUGUCGAGGCUCGAGAGCGGUGCAAAUCGACGAUGGGAAUCACUGGCGAAAAUUCCAGAGGGGAAUCUCCAUAGCUGUACUAUCCUCUAGCAUCCACUCGUCGGCUCCCAGGACUUCCGGUUGCGCCGCGGAUGCCGGGAGUUGUCCACGGCGCGAGGUUCCAGCCUCUCUUCGAGGCUACCUGCGAAGAUCUCGGUCCUGUCCUUUUGUCACUGUUCCCUUGAUAUUUGUAGAAUUAACCUGAACGCAUAGUCGCCUGCAGGCUGCCGAGGGAGAGUCAGUUGAAGGUCUCCGAGCGCGCCGACGUUCCGUCUAUGUCCACGCGGUAGCGAGUGUGCCCGGAUCGCCUCCUGAACUUUUCAAUGCACGUUCGUCCAGUUCGGAUUCCAGAAUGUCCGAGCUGCUGCGAGUAAAAGGUCACCUCGAAGAUUGUACCGUCACAUGAACAAGGUGCGCGGAACAUGAUCGUCGGCGAGUUUAAGAGAGCCGUAGUAAUUGGCGUGACAAGGAUUCUUUGCAUUCAGGAUGGAAACGCAAUUCACUAAUGGCUGAGCGAGCGAGACGUUUAAGAGGCGUUUAAUAGGUACGUUAAACGACUACUCUGUUUUGUCUGUUAAUAUAGAUAAAAAAUUUUAACAAGAUCUUCAUAAAUCUUUAAUUCAACAUAAUAUAAUAUAUUUAUAAUAAUCUUUUUAAUGCGAUCAACUUCCGAGAAAUGAUGCUCGUCGCGCAGGAUAAUAUCACCUCGCAAUCCAGGAAAACGACUUCUGGGAGAGAGACUGCUAUUUAGGUAUUUUCUAAGAUUUUUCUACGAGAAAAUUACAACAUUAUCUAUAUACGAUAUAACUUUACUUUCAACUAAAGCAUUUGUGUGCAAACAAAAAUGCCCGCUAACUUUCCCAGAAAAGAUUCCUACAACUCCUGUACAUAUUUUUCAGAUCGUCGUCCUUUAACUACGGCGCUUAGGUAUCAUAAAUAUCGCGAGAAUGGUGUAACAGAUGAAAGAGCCAGAGAGCAAUGUAAGGAUCGCGAGGAUCGCGGCCGCAAGCGAUCUGGGAAAAGUGUUAACAAGUCCCGGCAACGGGUUGUCAGCGCCGAUGGUCAUUCAUUUGAUCGGUGGCGACGCGCGACUCUCGUUUCUAAAUAGCGGGAGGUCUUUACGGGAUUCUCGGCCGUUGUAAAAAUCAAACAACAUCUCCGGCAUCUGGUGCAGCACGCGUGCAAAGGCUGUCCGCCCCUGAUGUCAAUCCUCAUUCGGCCGGUGGCUCGUAAAAGCCGCGUCGACGACGCGAUACGCGCGUGUAUUCACGGUCAUUUCGCAGUUUUUCGUCUCCCUCUCUUUACCUCCAGCCCCCGCACUGCUUGUCACCGCCUUAUACAAGCCGCUCGUGAUUAAUAAAACGUGCGCAAAUGACUUUAAGCCGGCAGUUUAAUUAUUCAAUUUUCACACGCACGACGAUAGUGACUCGCGAUACCAUCUCGCGUGGGUUCUUCACGCAGCGAGACGAGUGGGCACAUUAGGUGGAAAUUAUUCAUAGAUCGUUCGUGAGACUGUUCGAAAUUGUUCUCAACACGUUCGUAGUUAGCAGUUUUCACAGCUUGAUUUGUUUCGUUCGUUGUAUUAACCGCAAACAUUCGUAAAAUCUGAUAGAUUACGGGAUUUCAAGCGCAAAAACUUUUCAUAAUAUUCAUUUGUUCGAACAAGUUUCAUAACUUGUUUAAACUUUAACAGGUUUCAAUUCGAACACUUUUGCAAAUACAAAACUGUUCGAAAAGUUUUGUGCUAUUGUUAUAUUAUUUUCGACUGAUUGAAUUAUUUUAAAAAAAAUCAUUUAGCUUCUGUUUGCUUUACAAUCGUCGCGGACGAAUUUUACUUUGCACGAAGAUCCACCACAGCCUAAUGCUGAACCUAUUGUCGAACUGAAUUAAUCGGAUACUUUUUACGCGAGACACGCGCCUGUGACGCUGUUAGCGAACGUGUUAAAGUAAAGAAUAGAUGCGAAGGCCUCUUACAGUUUUCGAAUUGGUGAUCCAAUACGGCUAUGUUUACCAUUUUCUGCGAUAUCUCGGCAGAACAAAGAUCCACUCGAACGUUUGUAAAUGCUCCUCCCGUUGAGAUCAUUGGAGUCGAUGGCCAUCCGAUAUUGGCAAUGCCAUCUCACAGGAAGAGUCUCUAGGUCGCAUGUCGCCGGGGUUUAUGGGGAUCCGAUGGUGCUCGUAAAGCCGAGACUAUCGGGGUUAAGUGUCCUUUUUGCUUUUACCGUUGCAUACGAAUUCGAUGCAGUUUUGCAAUUAAUGGCUGGUCACCGGUCGUUUUUCCUUUUCUUUUUUUUUUGUCGAAUCGACGAGGGAAUCCGCGAGCGAGACGGCAAAGGGACGUGAAACGGGGAGUGCUCGCGGACCGAUCAAGGCGAAAACCCUUGACCCAGAUGCCAUCCGGCCAACAAAAUAUUCGAUAAAUACGCGCCGAGAGGCUCGGUCGCCUCAAAAUCGAAUGAUCCCGGCCUCUUUACGAUGAUUCGCGCGCGAGUAUCCUGCAUCUUUAUUUGCUUCUCUGCUCGAAGAUUUAUGCCCCGGCGACUGCAAGGCUGGACCCUUACACAUUUAUAGCAAAUUUUGCCGAGCGGAAUCCGGGGAAACAGAUUUUUCAACGUUGGGGAUAACCAGUAAUGACAGUGAUUGCUGGCAUUGCCUUGCUGCGCGGUGUUCAUGGAAAAAUAUGAAACCAGUGACUGUAGUAGUUCCAGUGUCAACAAAGUUGUUUAUUAAGGUGAUCAGCUUUCGUUCGGCUCCAGUUUUCAGCAACGUGGCCUUGGGAAUGUGAAUUUGCAUAAAGAUCCGCAGGAAAUUCUGUUGGCCGCGAUCACGUUUGAUUGUAUUCGUAUCUCCAAUUGACCUGGGCUCUUUUUAUGUGAACGUCCAGCGAACCUCUUCGUGAUUCACGGUGUUCCUAUUUACCACGAAAUCCACCGAGCCGGUCGAUAUGACCGGUUUCAUAUAUUGUAUUUUAGAAUUGCCGAAAUUAUGCAGACUCGUUGAUAGCGAAUAAUUGUAUAAAUUUCUCAAGCAAAAUUGUAAUCAAAAUUGUGGAAAGUCUGAAUAAAUUCAAUCUUAUUAUUUUUACGGAGCACGUUCGUCCCUUUUAAUGCUUGGUAGGUGUUUAGUGUUCGGUUCGUAGAUCAUUAAUUUUCCAGGAGAUUCUAUAAAAUCAUCUAAAAAUACCAAUUCUCAUUUCCAGGGGUAUGAGGAUCGCCUGCUCGCGUUUGCUAUGAAUGCAUAAAAUCCAAACAACGGUGCACUUUCUGCGUAAACUUUCUGCCUGUUCAAAAACAAUCGGCGAGCUCGUAAACGGAACAAGAAAUACAAGCCUCGCGCGUGGAGGACCACAAUAGCUGGAAAAGUUACUAUAAACCGUGUCUGACGUGGAAACAGAGACUCGCGGUUUUUGCGAGCGUUUAGGCCAGUUUUUCGCGCCGAGAGCGACAGGAGAUUCCCGAAGGCAGAUCGGCAUUCCUCGGCCGAAGGAAACUGGAGCGGCCGAGAGAGCUAAUUGGUCCGCAUCGGUCGAUUAGCCAAUGGGAUCGAAACGAGAAGGAAACACGACCGCUAAUUGACCGGCGCGGCUUUUCUCGCGGACGGCCAAGUUGCAUAAACCUCCGAGUGCCCAGCUGAAGCAGCAGCCGCGAGGAAACCUCGAAGAAUUUAGGCCUCUGCCUCCCGGCUUGCGCAACAGACCGAUAAUAAGUUUCUAAUCGAUCAUCGAGCUGUCGACGUCCCUGCAUUCAUUACGCCGGCUGACCAACGGCAUACCGAAUGAAAGUGAAACGUAUCGACGGUUCGGCCGACGAUUUCGAAACCUUUUUAUCGCCUCUGUUUUUCGCCGAUCGACCGACCGGCUGUCGCGGGGACACAAUGUUCUUGUUAAACAGCCUGACAAAAGGACGCCAGAGCAGCGGUUGAUUGAUUUCAUUGAGACAUCGACCGCCCGAACGAGGAACCACCGGGAACAGGUUCACGGACGUCGACGUACGACGGCUACGAAAAGCAUUUCAACCUUUCGACCUUCGUGAAGUUACCUUUUUCUGUCCGACCUGCGGCGGGCUGCGCUGGUGCUUGUCGACGAUGCCCAAUAAACAGUCGUCGCACUUGCAGUAGAAAUUCCUACUCGACGCGGAAUCGUUGGAGAGCAGAGAGUUGUAGGUGCUGGCACUGGUCUGACUGUCCAUCGAGUCGGCUCUCCUCAGAAAAAGGCUCCUCCUCGGAGACGCUCCGCUUCUCCGAUCUGCCUCGUUCUUCUCGUCCUCCCGUAAACUCUGCUUCUCGAUCUUCGCCAGCAGGAUCUGCUCCAUUAGAUUUAACGUUGGAGGCGUCGAGAGCGUCGGCGACGAUGGAUGAGAACUGCCGAGUCUCUUCUCUUGCUCCAUUUCUCGGUCCAUGUAUGUCCUCGAAAAAUUCUGCGAAUCGAGUUCUUAGCAAUUUAGCACUGGACAAAUUUCUAAGAAGAUCAGAAGGCUCUAGAGUUAUUUUUCCUGUAGACUUUCUCAAACUUUAUCUCUCCUCUUGCUAUCGGCGACUCGCUCGACGAUUAGGAAGAAUUCCUAGCAGCUGGUAUUUCUCACUUCAGCUUUCUCUUUUGCAAACUUCUCUGGCCGUCAAUUCUUCUCUCGAUUACCUAACAAUUGCUACCGAGGAGUCAAUGCUGAGUCCUAAAUUGAUCUUCCUUUUAUCUAGUCUUCUUUUAAGCUCUUCUGACCGAUCCAGCAGCAUUUGCUGCCAAGGAUUUGCUACAAAGCAAUCGAUCUAAGAGGUUGUCCAAGUCGAGCUUCCUGUAUCCAGAUUUCCUUGUGCUUCGAGUCUUCUUCUGGCAAUCAAUCCUUCACCGUUCGUUAACGAUUGAUUUGAAGGACCAAAGAUCCUGGGAGUUAGCCGAACAGCUUCCCGUUUCCAUGGACUACCGUCGACGAUGAUCCUCGAUGGAUCGAGAAGAGUCCCACCAGAGAUUCUAGCUGAUCGGUCCUCCAGGACGAUUUUCCGAAACGGUCGGCCACACGACGCUCCUCGGAACGAUCCUGCCGUCGAACUGCGACAUUUCAAACGUACACUACGCGACUCUCGACUCUUCCACGAACGUUCCUCGGAACACUAACACCCGCAUCGAAUUCAUUGCCGAGUGCCGUGGCAAAAAAUGUAUAACGGCCGUGACACUACACGCGGCGGGAUCAAUUUCUGCGGACUUGGUAGCGUUCCCGGAGAGUACUCGGGUAAUUCGCUCGGCGGUCAAUUGACUGCGGCUAGAGGGAACUGCGAAAACUGUAACCUUCGAGUUGAUCUAAUAGCCACGCUAUACUACUCCUUUCGCUUUGUUUUCCUCUCCGCAGCGCGAAAAUACACGGUCCCCCGCUUUGCUUCGAGAUCUGAAUCGCGACGGACGGAAUGGUUCUCGCGCAGGGGAAUAGCAGGUACGGUUCGCGAUUAGGUUCCGCGUGUCCUUGGGAAGCAGGAGAGACUCUCGAGGACACGGAGAGGCCGGGAUCCAGCGGCGAGCAGGGCCCGGCUGCACGCUUUUCCUCUACUGACCCGAAUUGAGUGCUUCCUGUUCACCAGCCGACCGCGUAUUACUCGAUCAUCUAUCGCGUGUAUCACCUAUAUGCCGCGUGACAACCAGAUCUCGCUGUUCUGUGAACUGUCGCGGCCGCGCGCACCUGAUAGGCUGAUGCCACAGGUGGUAAUCGUACCUAAGUACCCAUGGGAGGACGGUUGGUUCGCCGGAGCAAGCGGAGCACUACAAUUUGGUCUAGGAUUACAGAGGUAUGUUGACCUCGCACUGGACCCGUGGUUUACACCCUUCCUUGCGGGGUGUCGAACGAUCUUGGAACUUAUUGGAGGUAACGGAACAAAUGUCGGAGCUACAGCGGCUCACAAAAUUGUUCGUACACCUUUUGAAACGCGAUGACUUUUUUCGAACUGGACUACUCUAUUAGACAAUAACUAAAAUGCUCCUUUUUAUUUUUUAAUUUUGUUAUUACUUGAAAUGACAAAAACAAAACUCUAGGUUUUUAACCUUUUUAUCUGAGCCUAUAACGGAAAGCUACAGGCGUUGAAAGAUUUAAAAAAGACUUCUUACCGUUUCUGGUCGAAUGUGCCAAAAAUCGUGACAGAACUGCGUUUUUUACGAUCUUUAAUUGUUUACAGUUCGUAUCAAGGUCAGGCGAUUUCCAUCAAAUUUUCAGUUAAUUUUAAGUUACCAACUAUAGUUAAUUAUAAGUUACCAAGAUCAAAGAAAAGCAUUUUUCUUCAUUUUCCUUGCAGGCUCAGAUAAAAGUGAUAAAAAAGCGAGAGUUUUGUUUUUGUCAUUCCGAGUAAUAGCAAAAUUUAAAAAGAAGCAUUUUUGUUAUUAUCUAAUAGACCAAUCCGAUUAUCAUCUAAAAGAAAAAUUCACGUGAUAUAGUCCAGAUUGAAAAAAGUUAUUGCGUUUCAAAAGGUGUACGAACAACGUGCAGAUCACUAGAUAGCAGACGAUUAUACGAAUUAUCGAAUAAGGAAUAAUUUGUACGAAGGAAUUUUACAGAUACGAAGAAAAAUUGCCAGGCGAAGUCGGCGUCAACCGAGCAAAGAGAUCUCUAAUCGUCAUAAGUGUUUCCUGGCGGAGACGUCACCGAUAGGAAGCAACGUAGCGAUUUUCCCAGCAUAAAUCUGCGGUCCCAGUGCCGCGGUGCAGAGACAAAAGGUGUUCGAUUACGUCUCUGCUUGCAUAAUGAGCCAGUAUUUGAUCCUCCGAUUGACGUAAUCCAUUCGCCUACCGCGCCGAUAAUCAUCCUCCGUAGGCUCUUUGUCUCGCAUCUCGCAGAAAAUUUUCCGCAGUAUCGAACGUCGCGCUCAGCGGAGAAACUCUCGAAAUCUAUAUAUGGUCGAGUCAUAAAUAACUUCCGAUCCAGCUAGGUAGAAUCUAUUGUUCGUAUCUACUCGCUAUGAGUCUCCGAGACAAACGAGUUCUUGUUUUCGCUAAAUUGAUAAGGAUUCAAAAUAAAUGAAAUAAAAAGAAAUAAACGAUGAAGAAAGAAGAUAAACGUCCGAUAAAAAAACGGAAGCUUUUUAUGACUCUCGACCUAAUAAUUCUCGAAUCAACACAGGCACGCAACAUCCGUAUUAAUCAAACUGUUUGAGCAAUCGUAGGCGAUCGUUCGAACCACUGUCACAACAAACGGAUCACCUAUGUCGGAGGACUUUCACUAAACCUUCGUCGAUGAUCUACGCGCGGCGAUUUAUGAUUUCUGUCGUGGCUGCCAGACAAUAGUCAUUAAUAUCGCGGGGAAUCGCGGGCUUGUAACUGAAGGAGAGACGAAGAGCCCGGAAUCGUUAUCAGCGCGAACGGGAUCAUUGUUAUCGGCGAUUUGGCCGAUCAAUAACGCGGUAUUGCGAGAUAUCGAACGAUCAAGGUACAGAAACAUGAUUAUGGAAGCUAAUCGAACAACCUGAACUCAUCGUCUGGCAUGGUUUUCUUCAAACCCCUUGAUUUAUAGGGUAAGCUAUUGUUUAUUAUUUCUUGGCGAUUAUUCGAUGCUCGAAAAAGCGGUCGAGCUAUCCCGGACUCGCGCGCUGAAAACUUGGUACACCAUCUGCUGAAUAUGGGUUUUACCAGCCCGAUAAGAAACGCUUGAAACUUGGUCUGCCGUGAAAGGAAGCUGGCUGCCUUUUAGCGGUCACGUUCUAUCCGUGACUGUCUUUGAGCCGCGCCGCGACUCCGACCAGCUCGAAGAUCGCCAAAGUGCGAUUCGAAUGGGGUAAUUCGACAAACAUGGAAAAAGUUCGGUGCGGUGAAUAAAAGAUGAGGCAUCCAAUUACAAGGUAUGGUGUGCUUGACUAUUUAACUGGAUGGCUUUUUCAUUAUGAAUGGAUCCCAAGGUGAACAAAAUCGAAGCAAUGCGAAAGGGUUGCGCGUCGAGUUGAAACAACAAUGAGAAUUUUCCCUAUGCCGGUAGCGAAAAGAUCAAAGGAACGCCCAUGGAAGUUCCACAGACCCUGUGGAAUUCGUGGAAGGCGAUUACAUCGAGUGGCGCUAUUACAUAUAACGAGAGAGCGCUCUCUCAUUUAGAAGCAACGAGGAGGCUUUGUUUUUGUCGCGAACCACAGGAUAAGACGAUAAGAUUCAACGACAAUUGCUUAUCGGUGUCGUUUGCUAAUCAUUCUCCGUCCAAAGAUAUCUAUUAUUUAUUGUUGUCAACAAUAACAGGUUGGGUAAGACAGUAUGUGUUUUACUCGCGUGACGAACCCGGUUCUGAGAACGAGAACUAAGUAUCUCUUUUUCGAAAUGCCGAAAGAUUGCAGAUGCUCUUGCGAAGAAAUUGAAAUUUUUCGUGCUAAACGGGCUGCCGCGCUUUUACUUUCGACCGUGGUCCGAGCCAAGCGGCUUUUCGCGAUUAGAAAACAAAUCGGCACACUGGGAUUUCCGACGACCCACGUCCACGAUAUUAUUUUCGGUCAGGCCGCGCGCGCGAUGUUUUAUUCAUAACGCGUACGUGUCAUCCCGUGUGCAACGCGAAUUUUCUAUGUCGUGGAGCUGGAACGCGUGGUUGGAUCGAUAUAGGCACUCUCGGUCAGCAUACGCUUAGAAAAUCUUCGGCCCACGAUUGUCUCUUAGCGUUUCAAUCGCGAAUGCCGCAACGUCAUUGUUCCGCGGUCGAAACAAAGAACGCCUUGCGACGGAGUUCGUUCGAACGUUGAAUGAAAACUCUUCGACAAUGAUUUUUUCUAGAAUCUACGACUACAUGCUUCGAAUGCUCGCUCCUGACCUUCGAAUCGUUUAUUCUUCGCUGUUAACUACGAAUGCUUCCUCGAAGAACAUUCACGAAUUCCGAAUUUUCGCCAAGCUUGUGAUAGGAAGUAUAUUAUCGAAUUGGCCAUUGGACUUGCUGAAGAAUGUUUCAUCUAAACGUCAAGAUCAUUAGCACAAGGACCUUUAAAGACACCAUACCGGACCAGAUGAAAAAUCGUUUAGAAACUAGUUCUUAUCAUAGAACCUUCGAAACCACCUGGCAAAACAAGAUAAACGAUCAUCUAAGGUUAGAAGAGUCCAGGGACUGUCUACUGCUAGCAAAAGCUCUUAAGAACACUUCACGAAACGUGCGUGAUCAUCUUCGAAAACAAGAUAAGCAGUGAUCUAGAAAUUAGAAGCACCUAGCGUGCAAUUCUCCUAAGCUGCUAAAACACUAGCCAGAAGAAGAUGAUCGGGAAUGAUGAUCCAAGAUCCUGCACCGGAACGGAAACGUGAAAAUCUCGAAAUACCUUGUAGAGCAAUGCGUCGCAAGCGAUAUUUCCGUCGAGGAUCUCGUCCAGAUGGUCGAUCCUAAGUAGGCCGAGGGGCCGUUGCUUUCCACGCUUCAUCUUCCGCGUCCUCCAACUUUCCUCUUGCCGGAGACGCAGUCAUCGGGAGCGGAUCACCGCGUGAACUAGCCGACCGCGAAAUUGCCGUCGCCUCUGCGGUGCACAUUAUCACCUGGUAAUAUUUGUUGAUAAGUGCCCGGCCGGCGGCGAACACGCGACGAGACCCCUUCGUGGAAAUCGCUGCGCGCUGCUUAUCAGAUGGCAGUCGCUGACGAGUCGCAACUGCGCGUCUCCGAUCCCAAGAACCUAACCGAUUAUCGCCGAACACCUGUUCGAAGUAAUCUUUGGCUUAGCAUGACGCCUGCUAUGCUUACCACGUGGAAUUUGACUCGAGUCAAGCUCGGUCAGGGUUCAGAAUUUCGGAGCAACAAUUCUACCCUACGAAGACUAAGUCCGCCGUAAUUGACUCCCGCUGAUAACGAAUGAAGAUACACUCUUCCCGACCAGCUCCACCGCACAGUAAACAGAGGCCGAUUCGUCGCGCUUUAUUUAAAUCAAGUUCGCCUUCCUCCCCCGGUUUCGCUGGUAUUCUAUUUUUUCCCGACGCGGAGCGGAGUCAUCGGAAUAAAUGAUCCGCCGUAUCGCGUUUCGAUCCUAUAAAUAUAUGGGAUCCAUGAGCCCCUAAUCGAUAACUACCACCAUCCUCGAAGGAUGAGUUUAUUGGUAACUCGGUCGGGACACUGAGAUCUUCAAGAACCCGAGUAUCACCGUAGAUGCCGCAAACUGUUCCAGAGAAAGUUUCAACGAUUUUUCUGGCCAUGUUGAUGAGCAAUUGAAAAUUCGACGUUGCGGAUAGAGUAUGAUAAUAGAGAUUUGUAUGUACGGGGAGACCAGCUGACGCAGACUGACCGAAUCCUAUGGUACGCGGUGUCGCGAACGGAGACACUGCCGAGAGACCGCACACCGCUGUCACCGGUCCUCCACUGGUUCACUGUUACCACAUCGACUACCUCGGCUAGACUGGAGAUGCCUCGAGCUUGAACUUUCUGGCUCCUUGAACGGAGCGGGAUAAUGGAGCAUUUGAAAGUAAAAGCCAGUAGACCUAUUCUCUUUAUGCGGGCCAACUCUGGAAGCGGCUGGUCUUAUAAUCAGUGGCAUAGUGGAAACAUUGAUGGACGGACGCAUCCUGCAGGAGCUAUCUUAAAAUACUCUGUUACGACUGUUUAUUAUAAUAAAAAGUGUCGCAGACAAAAGUUGUAGUAUCUCAGAUGGUGUUUAAAAUUUAGCAACUAAUUUUAUUGUUUUUGUUAUAUUGCCACUUUAUAGAUGUCGACUCUGAUCUCUAACUAGAAGAUUGAAAGAAUUGUCAAAGUGUUCCAGAUGUUUUUAUACAAAAUGCAAGGUAAAAAAUCUUAAUUAGUACGCCGUGAAGUCCUCUUGAUACUGUACAACUUUUGUGUGAAAUCUUUGAUCGUAUAGUAAACGGUUGACGGGCUAUUUUAAGUACAAGAAUCGCUUACCGCAGAAGUUAUUGUUUCACUAGGUGAGUCACACGUUCCCCACAAAUUGUUGAAACUAAACGGAUCGCAAAGGAUUAACUAUGACAGAGAAUAAACUUAGAAAUGCAUUAUUCCGGUAUGAAUAAUUUAAACAACGCGGUCGGCCAACGUAGCAUGGUGGUGCUUCGGUUCAGCCAAGGUCGCGCAAAUUGGCAUUGAUCUCAUUUGCUUCAUAUUCUAUAAUAAAAUUUUGCAGAUAGCAUUGCAGAAACUAAAUUAUUCGAUUAACUUGACACAAAGUUUUCCAGCCGGGAUCAAGAACUAGCAUCAAAUUGUACCCGGCCUCGCUUGACCGCUAUCGCCGAGAAUCCGGUUCCCAAGCUCAAUUCCACGCUCGCGGAGAGGAAAGGUGUAACUAGUGACGUCAAGCAAUUGUGGAAUUUACAACGGUGUUUAUAAGCGGUGGUGGUUCUCGCCAGGUGAUAGUCAGGCUACGUCAGUGGCACGGCCUAUACAAAAGUCGCACAUUCUGUCUGUUAGAUAAAUUAAACUAAUGAAUUCGGUUCCGGCCUCGCAUUCCCAAUACCAUGAAAUUUCCCGAAACUCUUUGCCAAUCCUCCACGCGGAUCAAAGAGAGAUGAAUUUAUGGGAUCUCGGUGAGCGGCGGACGCGAGAGGCUGCGGGGACGAGGAAGAACAACAUCGGCUGCAGCGUUCAGUGCACGUCACUAUAACCCACGCAAAGAAUGCACAAAGCGAUCGUGCACGUGCGCGACGGGUUUGUAAACACGUUGAUCCAUCCGUAUGGAAAACGAGUAUGCAGAGACAGGGCCAGGUAUGCUACGUACAAAGGACGGGCAUGCAUAACAGAAUUCCGUCGUUCGCUGUAUUGUUGCGGCCUCGUGUUUCAAAAACAGCGACGCGUGUCUUCUUGUACUAUCUGUAUCAUUUUCUAGGAAAUUUUUCAAA